This 442-nucleotide ribosomal RNA is filed under the name uncultured bacterium. RNAcentral's name for it is "partial 16S ribosomal RNA". It matches the Rfam family "Bacterial small subunit ribosomal RNA", at positions 338 to 795 of the family's 1533-position model. The record is from RNAcentral.
CCUACGGGGGGCAGCAGUGGGGGAUAUUGCACAAUGGGGGAAACCCUGAUGCAGCGACGCCGCGUGGGCGAAGAAGUAUUUCGGUAUGUAAAGCCCUAUCAGCAGGGAAGAAGAAAUGACGGUACCUGAGUAAGAAGCACCGGCUAAAUACGUGCCAGCAGCCGCGGUAAUACGUAUGGUGCAAGCGUUAUCCGGAUUUACUGGGUGUAAAGGGAGCGCAGGCGGCACGGCAAGCCUGAUGUGAAAGCCCGCGGCCCAACCGCGGGACUGCAUUGGGAACUACCGGGCGGGAGUGCCGGAGAGGUGGGCGGAAGUCGUGGGGGAGCGGUGAAAUGCGUAGAUAGUAGGAGGAACAGCAGUGGCGAAGGCGACCUACUGGACGGUGACUGACGCUGAGGCGCGAAAGCGUGGGGAGCAAACAGGAUUAGAUACCCUUGUAGUC